Molecule: ribosomal RNA, 767 nt
Filed under: uncultured Streptococcus sp.
Lineage: Bacteria; Bacillati; Bacillota; Bacilli; Lactobacillales; Streptococcaceae
Description: bacterial SSU rRNA
Rfam family: Bacterial small subunit ribosomal RNA
Source: RNAcentral
GACGAACGCUGGCGGCGUGCCUAAUACAUGCAAGUAGAACGCUGAAGAGAGGAGCUUGCUCUUCUUGGAAGAGUUGCGAACGGGUGAGUAACGCGUAGGUAACCUGCCUUGUAGCGGGGGAUAACUAUUGGAAACGAUAGCUAAUACCGCAUAACAAUGGGUGACCCAUGUCAUUCAUUUGAAAGGGGCAACUGCUCCACUACAAGAUGGACCUGCGUUGUAUUAGCUAGUAGGUGAGGUAACGGCUCACCUAGGCGACGAUACAUAGCCGACCUGAGAGGGUGAUCGGCCACACUGGGACUGAGACACGGCCCAGACUCCUACGGGAGGCAGCAGUAGGGAAUCUUCGGCAAUGGGGGCAACCCUGACCGAGCAACGCCGCGUGAGUGAAGAAGGUUUUCGGAUCGUAAAGCUCUGUUGUAAGUCAAGAACGAGUGUGAGAGUGGAAAGUUCACACUGUGACGGUAGCUUACCAGAAAGGGACGGCUAACUACGUGCCAGCAGCCGCGGUAAUACGUAGGUCCCGAGCGUUGUCCGGAUUUAUUGGGCGUAAAGCGAGCGCAGGCGGUUUGAUAAGUCUGAAGUUAAAGGCUGUGGCUCAACCAUAGUUCGCUUUGGAAACUGUCAAACUUGAGUGCAGAAGGGGAGAGUGGAAUUCCAUGUGUAGCGGUGAAAUGCGUAGAUAUAUGGAGGAACACCGGUGGCGAAAGCGGCUCUCUGGUCCCGUAACUGACGCUGAGGCUCGAAAGCGUGGGGGAGCGAACAGG